CCCUUAGAUGUUCUGGGCCGCACGCGCGCUACACUGACGAUGGCAACGAGUUUUUCCUUCGCCGAAAGGUGUGGGUAAUCUUUUGAAACAUCGUCGUGCUGGGGAUAGAUCAUUGCAAUUUUUGAUCUUGAACGAGGAAUUCCUAGUAAGCGCGAGUCAUCAGCUCACGUUGAUUACGUCCCUGCCCUUUGUACACACCGCCCGUCGCUACUACCGAUUGAAUGGUUUAGUGAGGACUCCUGAUUGGCGCCGCCGCCCCGGCAACGGAGCAGCGGACUGCCGAAAAGUUGUUCAAACUUGAUCAUUUAGAGGAAGUAAAAGUCGUAACA
This 329-nucleotide ribosomal RNA is filed under the name uncultured eukaryote. RNAcentral describes it as "partial 18S ribosomal RNA". It matches the Rfam family "Eukaryotic small subunit ribosomal RNA", at positions 1470 to 1796 of the family's 1831-position model. The record is from RNAcentral.